UUCCUAUGCGACAGCGGAGACACAAGACGCUCAUAAAAUACCCAUUUUGUGCAUUUGUGUUUGCAAAAAAAGGAAAAUGAAAUCAAGUCACAUUAUGAGUAUUGCCUUUUUUCUUGCCGUGAUGUACGGACCAUGUUAUUCAGGAUUUGAUUGCAUGAAUAGUGGUGGAGUUUGUACGAACAGCUUUUGUCCCAAGGGGUAUUUCAAGGACUAUUUACCACACGAAGACUGUUGUUCUACUGAAAAAUGUUGUCUUCCCCUGAUACAUCAAAAGCCUUCCAAUUAUCCAAGUUACUAAGACUUUCUUGACGUGAAAUUACAUUGUAAGAACUGAGGGUUUAAUGAUUGAAUAAAACAAUAAUAAAUGAUAUAACAC
Mytilus trossulus (common blue mussel) is the source of this 376-nucleotide long non-coding RNA. RefSeq lists it as uncharacterized. The transcript is spliced from 3 exons. Lineage: Eukaryota; Metazoa; Mollusca; Bivalvia; Mytilida; Mytilidae. The record is from RefSeq and is a predicted model, not a curated record.